AGUGAACGCUGGCGGUAGGCCUAACACAUGCAAGUCGAACGGCAGCACAGUAAGAGCUUGCUCUUACGGGUGGCGAGUGGCGGACGGGUGAGGAAUACAUCGGAAUCUACUUUUUCGUGGGGGAUAACGUAGGGAAACUUACGCUAAUACCGCAUACGACCUACGGGUGAAAGCAGGGGAUCUUCGGACCUUGCGCGAUUGAAUGAGCCGAUGUCGGAUUAGCUAGUUGGCGGGGUAAAGGCCCACCAAGGCAACGAUCCGUAGCUGGUCUGAGAGGAUGAUCAGCCACACUGGAACUGAGACACGGUCCAGACUCCUACGGGAGGCAGCAGUGGGGAAUAUUGGACAAUGGGCGCAAGCCUGAUCCAGCCAUACCGCGUGGGUGGAGAAGGCCUUCGGGUUGUAAAGCCCUUUUGUUGGGAAAGAAAAGCAGCAGGUUAAUACCCCGCUGUUCUGACGGUACCCAAAGAAUAAGCACCGGCUAACUUCGUG
This 492-nucleotide ribosomal RNA is filed under the name uncultured bacterium. RNAcentral's name for it is "partial 16S ribosomal RNA". It matches the Rfam family "Bacterial small subunit ribosomal RNA", at positions 29 to 507 of the family's 1533-position model. The record is from RNAcentral.